This 301-nucleotide ribosomal RNA is filed under the name uncultured bacterium. Its description in RNAcentral is "partial 16S ribosomal RNA". It matches the Rfam family "Bacterial small subunit ribosomal RNA", at positions 509 to 807 of the family's 1533-position model. The record is from RNAcentral.
CAGCAGCCACGGGAAUACGGAGGGGGCUAGCGUUGUUCGGAAUUACUGGGCGUAAAGCGUGCGUAGGCGGUUCGUUAAGUCUGCUGUGAAAGCCCGGGGCUCAACCCCGGAACUGCCUUUGAAACUAGGUAACUAGAAUCUUGGAGAGGUCAGUGGAAUUCCGAGUGUAGAGGUGAAUUUCGUAGAUAUUCGGAAGAACACCAGUGGCGAAGGCGACUGACUGGACAAGUAUUGACGCUGAGGUGCGAAAGCGUGGGGAGCAAACAGGAUUAGAUACCCCGGUAGUCCCUGUCUCUUAUAC